AGAGUUUGAUCCUGGCUCAGGAUGAACGCUGGCGGCGUGCCUAACACAUGCAAGUCGAGCGGAAGAAUAGUUGCUUGCAACUAAACUUUAGCGGCGGACGGGUGAGUAACACGUGGGUAACCUGCCCUAAACAAGGGAAUAGCAAUGAGAAAUCAUUGGUAAUACCGUAUAAGCUUACAAUAUCGCAUGAUAAAGUAAGA
RNAcentral lists this ribosomal RNA (200 nucleotides) under uncultured bacterium. RNAcentral describes it as "partial 16S ribosomal RNA". It matches the Rfam family "Bacterial small subunit ribosomal RNA", at positions 8 to 202 of the family's 1533-position model. The record is from RNAcentral.